This 433-nucleotide ribosomal RNA is filed under the name uncultured bacterium. RNAcentral's name for it is "partial 16S ribosomal RNA". It matches the Rfam family "Bacterial small subunit ribosomal RNA", at positions 29 to 507 of the family's 1533-position model. The record is from RNAcentral.
AACGAACGCUGGCGGCAGGCUUAACACAUGCAAGUCGAACGCACCUUUCGGGGUGAGUGGCGGACGGGUGAGUAACGCGUGGGAAUCUACCCUUCUCUACGGGAUAGCUCCGGGAAACUGGAAUUAAUACCGUAUACGUCCUGAUGGAGAAAGAUUUAUCGGGGAAGGAUGAGCCGGCGUUGGAUUAGCUAGUUGGUGGGGUAAAGGCCUACCAAGGCGACGAUCCAUAGCUGGGCUAAGAGAAUGAUCAGCCACAUUGGGACUGAGACACGGCCCAAACUCCUCCGGGAGGCAGCAGUGGGGAAUAUUGGAACAUGGGGGCAAGCAUGAUCCAGCCAGGACGGGUGAGUGAUGAAGGUCCUAGGGUUGUAAAGCUCUUUCAGUGGGGACGAUAAUGACGGUACCCACAGAAGAAGCCCCGGCUAACUUCGUG